This is a non-coding RNA of Trichonephila clavipes, 73 nucleotides long. The record is from the annotation of a GenBank genome assembly. Lineage: Eukaryota; Metazoa; Arthropoda; Arachnida; Araneae; Nephilidae.
GUCCCUGUAGCGCAAUGAACAGCGCGUUGGACUUCUAAUCCAAAGGUCAUGGGUUCGAAUUCCACUUGGAAUA